UACGUAGGGGGCUAGCGUUGCUCGGAAUUACUGGGCGUAAAGCGCACGUAGGCGGCUUGUUAAGUCAGGGGUGAAAUCCUGGAGCUCAACUCCAGAACUGCCUUUGAUACUGGCGAGCUUGAGUUCGGGAGAGGUGAGUGGAACUGCGAGUGUAGAGGUGAAAUUCGUAGAUAUUCGCAAGAACACCAGUGGCGAAGGCGGCUCACUGGCCCGAUACUGACGCUGAGGUGCGAAAGCGUGGGGAGCAAACAGG
Molecule: ribosomal RNA, 253 nt
Filed under: uncultured bacterium
Lineage: Bacteria
Description: partial 16S ribosomal RNA
Rfam family: Bacterial small subunit ribosomal RNA
Source: RNAcentral